RNAcentral lists this ribosomal RNA (371 nucleotides) under uncultured organism. RNAcentral describes it as "partial 16S ribosomal RNA". It matches the Rfam family "Bacterial small subunit ribosomal RNA", at positions 527 to 896 of the family's 1533-position model. The record is from RNAcentral.
GCAGGUGGCAAGCGUUGUCCGGAAUUAUUGGGCGUAAAGCGCGCGCAGGCGGUUCUUUAAGUCUGAUGUGAAAGCCCACGGCUCAACCGUGGAGGGUCAUUGGAAACUGGAGAACUUGAGUACAGAAGAGGAAAGCGGAAUUCCACGUGUAGCGGUGAAAUGCGUAGAGAUGUGGAGGAACACCAGUGGCGAAGGCGGCUUUCUGGUCUGUAACUGACGCUGAGGCGCGAAAGCGUGGGGGAGCAAACAGGAUUAGAUACCCUGGUAGUCCACGCCGUAAACGAUGAGUGCUAAGUGUUAGGGGGUUUCCGCCCCUUAGUGCUGCAGCUAACGCAUUAAGCACUCCGCCUGGGAGUACGGCCGCAAGGCUG